CCUACGGGGGGCUGCAGUGGAGAAUAUUGGACAAUGGGGGGAACCCUGAUCCAGCCAUGCCGCGUGUGUGAAGAAGGCCCUCGGGUUGUAAAGCACUUUCAGUGAGGAAGAACGCCUGGUGGUUAAUACCCAGUAGGAAAGACAUCACUCACAGAAGAAGCACCGGCUAACUCCGUGCCAGCAGCCGCGGUAAUACGGAGGGUGCGAGCGUUAAUCGGAAUUACUGGGCGUAAAGCGCGCGUAGGUGGCUUGAUAAGCCGGUUGUGAAAGCCCCGGGCUCAACCUGGGAACGGCAUCCGGAACUGUCAAGCUAGAGUGCAGGAGAGGAAGGUAGAAUUCCCGGUGUAGCGGUGAAAUGCGUAGAGAUCGGGAGGAAUACCAGUGGCGAAGGCGGCCUUCUGGACUGACACUGACACUGAGGUGCGAAAGCGUGGGUAGCAAACAGGAUUAGAUACCCUGGUAGUC
Molecule: ribosomal RNA, 465 nt
Filed under: Vreelandella stevensii
Lineage: Bacteria; Pseudomonadati; Pseudomonadota; Gammaproteobacteria; Oceanospirillales; Halomonadaceae
Description: partial 16S ribosomal RNA
Rfam family: Bacterial small subunit ribosomal RNA
Source: RNAcentral